UACGAAGGGGGCUAGCGUUGCUCGGAAUUACUGGGCGUAAAGGGCGCGUAGGCGGACAGUUUAGUCAGAGGUGAAAGCCCAGGGCUCAACCUUGGAACUGCCUUCGAUACUGCGGGUCUCGAGUCCGGGAGAGGUGAGUGGAAUUCCUAGUGUAGAGGUGAAAUUCGUAGAUAUUAGGAAGAACACCAGUGGCGAAGGCGGCUCACUGGCCCGGUACUGACGCUGAGGUGCGAAAGCGUGGGGAGCAAACAGG
Molecule: ribosomal RNA, 253 nt
Filed under: uncultured bacterium
Lineage: Bacteria
Description: partial 16S ribosomal RNA
Rfam family: Bacterial small subunit ribosomal RNA
Source: RNAcentral